UUUCGUACGAACGUGCCAUUCUUGUUUACGUACGUAUGCGCAUCCGUAUUCUUUUUGCUCUCGUUCGCAAACGUCAGUCAAAAGUUGCGAAUCGCUGUACGAAUCGCCGGCGCCGGUAGUUUUUUCUCGUUUUUCUGCUGUUUGGUGUUAGUUUUUUGACAAAAUUGAAUAAACCGAAAAAUUUGUGUUGAUUCGUGAAGUGUGAGGAACAUUCUGAAGAACAUUUGUGAAAAUCUAUUUUCAAAAAUCUCCAGUUUUGUAUACGGAAACGAAAGUUGCGAAUGGCUGUACGAAUCGCCGUUGCCACGGUUUUUUUUUUCUUGUUUUUUUCUGCGGUUUUGUGUUAGUUUUUCAGAGAAAAUAAAUGGAACGAAGACAAUUCCUAGUUAAAUAAAGUUAGUGCAACAUUUUCAAGAAAAAAGGUGACAAAUGAUUUUUUAGAGUCCAGUCCAGAAACAGCAGUCGAAAGUUGCAAAUGACUAUACGAAUCGCCGUCGCCCCAGUUUUUUUGGUUCACUUUCUGUGAAAAGUUUCCUGGCCAUAUCAGCAAAAAGUCAACUACCAGACAGGUUCUGAUUAGCUCAAAAAGUGGAUGGGUAACAGAACACAGGAUAAUUAUUUUAACAUUGCUCAAUUGACACAGAUGCCGAUUUGUAUACUAGGAAUAAUCGAUCAAGAGCUACAGGAAAAUGUAUGAAAUCACGACUCUUCCUCCGGCAACUAUUUAUACAUGCUGUGAUUGAUGACUUUUUUGGACGAACUAGGCUGUUUCCAACCAUUUUGAAAUUAGCAACAAAAAAGGGGAUCAAGUAUAUAACAUAGCAACCGAUUCCUUCGGAUGUCUCAUGCAACCGCAAGCUAUCUUUGAACGCAAUCUCGUCGAAUUAAUAAAAUUAGGUUAUUGAACUGCUGCAUGCUACAAAGAAGAGUUUUAAGAGUUGAUUACGUGUUGAUUUAAUUUUAUUUUAUCAGAAAAAUGAUUGAACAAGUAUGCGAAACUAAUGUGAAUAAAUUUUAUUGAUUUU
This is a long non-coding RNA of Wyeomyia smithii (pitcher-plant mosquito), 1025 nucleotides long. RefSeq lists it as uncharacterized. The record is from RefSeq and is a predicted model, not a curated record. The transcript has 3 exons. NCBI's taxonomy places the organism in Eukaryota, Metazoa, Arthropoda, Insecta, Diptera, Culicidae.